GACGAACGCUGGCGGCGUGCUGAACACAUGCAAGUCGAACGGAAAUGCCCUGCUUGUGUGGGGUGCUCGAGUGGCGAACGGGUGAGUAACACGUGAGUAACCUGCCCUUGACUUUGGGAUAACUUCAGGAAACUGGGGCUAAUACCGGAUAGGAGCUCCUGCUGCAUGGUGGGGGUUGGAAAGUUUCGGCGGUUGGGGAUGGACUCGCGGCUUAUCAGCUUGUGGGUGGGGUAGUGGCUUACCAAGGCUUUGACGGGUAGCCGGCCUGAGAGGGUGACCGGCCACGUUGGGACUGACAUACGGCCCAGACUCCUACGCGAGGCAGCAGUGUGGAAUCUUGCCCGAUGGGCGGAAGCCUGAUGCAGCCACGCCGCGUGCGGGAUGACGGCCUUCGGGUUCUAACCCGCUUUCGCCUGUGAAGCAGCGUGAGUGACGGUAAUGGGUAACGAAGCACCGGCUAACUACGUG
Molecule: ribosomal RNA, 468 nt
Filed under: uncultured bacterium
Lineage: Bacteria
Description: partial 16S ribosomal RNA
Rfam family: Bacterial small subunit ribosomal RNA
Source: RNAcentral